Molecule: ribosomal RNA, 38 nt
Filed under: Sporothrix globosa
Lineage: Eukaryota; Fungi; Ascomycota; Sordariomycetes; Ophiostomatales; Ophiostomataceae
Description: partial 28S ribosomal RNA
Source: RNAcentral
ACCUCGAUCAGGUAGGACUACCCGCUGAACUUAAGCAU